CAGUAGCCGCGGGAACACGUAGGUGGCAAGCGUUGUCCGGAAUUAUUGGGCGUAAAGGGCUCGCAGGCGGUUUCUUAAGUCUGAUGUGAAAGCCCCCGGCUCAACCGGGGAGGGUCAUUGGAAACUGGGAAACUUGAGUGCAGAAGAGGAGAGUGGAGUUCCACGUGUAGCGGUGAAAUGCGUAGAGAUGUGGAGGAACACCAGUGGCGAAGGCGGCUCUCUGGUCUGUAACUGACGCUGAGGAGCGAAAGCGUGGGGAGCGAACAGGAUUAGAUACCCCUGUAGUCCCUGUCUCUUAUAC
This 301-nucleotide ribosomal RNA is filed under the name uncultured bacterium. RNAcentral's name for it is "partial 16S ribosomal RNA". It matches the Rfam family "Bacterial small subunit ribosomal RNA", at positions 509 to 807 of the family's 1533-position model. The record is from RNAcentral.